RNAcentral lists this ribosomal RNA (312 nucleotides) under uncultured bacterium. RNAcentral describes it as "partial 16S ribosomal RNA". It matches the Rfam family "Bacterial small subunit ribosomal RNA", at positions 355 to 659 of the family's 1533-position model. The record is from RNAcentral.
UAGGGAAUCUUCCACAAUGGACGCAAGUCUGAUGGAGCAACGCCGCGUGAGUGAAGAAGGCUUUCGGGUCGUAAAACUCUGUUAUUGAAGAAGAACGUGCGUGACAGUAACUGGUCAUGCAGUGACGGUAUUCAAUCAGAAAGUCACGGCUAACUACGUGCCAGCAGCCGCGGUAAUACGUAGGUGGCAAGCGUUGUCCGGAUUUAUUGGGCGUAAAGCGAGUGCAGGCGGUCUUUUAAGUCUGAUGUGAAAGCCUUCGGCUUAACCGAAGAAGGGCAUCGGAAACUGGGAGACUUGAGUGCAGAAGAGGAG